This 328-nucleotide ribosomal RNA is filed under the name uncultured eukaryote. RNAcentral describes it as "partial 18S ribosomal RNA". It matches the Rfam family "Eukaryotic small subunit ribosomal RNA", at positions 1470 to 1796 of the family's 1831-position model. The record is from RNAcentral.
CCCUUAGAUGUCCGGGGCUGCACGCGCGCUACACUGAAGGAAUCAGCGUGCUAAAACCAUUGUCGAAAGGCAUUGGUAAACCCAUUAAAAUCCUACGUGAUUGGGAUCGGGAAUUGCAAUUAUUUCCCUUGAACGAGGAAUUCCCAGUAAGUGUGGGUCAUAAGCUCGCGUUGAUUACGUCCCUGCCCUUUGUACACACCGCCCGUCGCUGCCCGGGACUGAGCCGUUUCGAGAAAAGCGGGGACUGCUGCUGUCGGGGCUUUCGGGCCUUGGCUUCGGUGGAAACCGCUUUAAUCGCAGCGGCUUGAACCGGGCAAAANUCGUAACA